Molecule: ribosomal RNA, 1675 nt
Filed under: Escherichia coli
Lineage: Bacteria; Pseudomonadati; Pseudomonadota; Gammaproteobacteria; Enterobacterales; Enterobacteriaceae
Also listed under: 1 other name
Description: partial 23S ribosomal RNA
Rfam family: Bacterial large subunit ribosomal RNA
Source: RNAcentral
AUGCUGGAGGUAUCAGAAGUGCGAAUGCUGACAUAAGUAACGAUAAAGCGGGUGAAAAGCCCGCUCGCCGGAAGACCAAGGGUUCCUGUCCAACGUUAAUCGGGGCAGGGUGAGUCGACCCCUAAGGCGAGGCCGAAAGGCGUAGUCGAUGGGAAACAGGUUAAUAUUCCUGUACUUGGUGUUACUGCGAAGGGGGGACGGAGAAGGCUAUGUUGGCCGGGCGACGGUUGUCCCGGUUUAAGCGUGUAGGCUGGUUUUCCAGGCAAAUCCGGAAAACUAAGGCUGAGGCGUGAUGACGAGGCACUACGGUGCUGAAGCAACAAAUGCCCUGCUUCCAGGAAAAGCCUCUAAGCAUCAGGUAACAUCAAAUCGUACCCCAAACCGACACAGGUGGUCAGGUAGAGAAUACCAAGGCGCUUGAGAGAACUCGGGUGAAGGAACUAGGCAAAAUGGUGCCGUAACUUCGGGAGAAGGCACGCUGAUAUGUAGGUGAAGUCCCUCGCGGAUGGAGCUGAAAUCAGUCGAAGAUACCAGCUGGCUGCAACUGUUUAUUAAAAACACAGCACUGUGCAAACACGAAAGUGGACGUAUACGGUGUGACGCCUGCCCGGUGCCGGAAGGUUAAUUGAUGGGGUUAGCGCAAGCGAAGCUCUUGAUCGAAGCCCCGGUAAACGGCGGCCGUAACUAUAACGGUCCUAAGGUAGCGAAAUUCCUUGUCGGGUAAGUUCCGACCUGCACGAAUGGCGUAAUGAUGGCCAGGCUGUCUCCACCCGAGACUCAGUGAAAUUGAACUCGCUGUGAAGAUGCAGUGUACCCGCGGCAAGACGGAAAGACCCCGUGAACCUUUACUAUAGCUUGACACUGAACAUUGAGCCUUGAUGUGUAGGAUAGGUGGGAGGCUUUGAAGUGUGGACGCCAGUCUGCAUGGAGCCGACCUUGAAAUACCACCCUUUAAUGUUUGAUGUUCUAACGUUGACCCGUGAUCCGGGUUGCGGACAGUGUCUGGUGGGUAGUUUGACUGGGGCGGUCUCCUCCUAAAGAGUAACGGAGGAGCACGAAGGUUGGCUAAUCCUGGUCGGACAUCAGGAGGUUAGUGCAAUGGCAUAAGCCAGCUUGACUGCGAGCGUGACGGCGCGAGCAGGUGCGAAAGCAGGUCAUAGUGAUCCGGUGGUUCUGAAUGGAAGGGCCAUCGCUCAACGGAUAAAAGGUACUCCGGGGAUAACAGGCUGAUACCGCCCAAGAGUUCAUAUCGACGGCGGUGUUUGGCACCUCGAUGUCGGCUCAUCACAUCCUGGGGCUGAAGUAGGUCCCAAGGGUAUGGCUGUUCGCCAUUUAAAGUGGUACGCGAGCUGGGUUUAGAACGUCGUGAGACAGUUCGGUCCCUAUCUGCCGUGGGCGCUGGAGAACUGAGGGGGGCUGCUCCUAGUACGAGAGGACCGGAGUGGACGCAUCACUGGUGUUCGGGUUGUCAUGCCAAUGGCACUGCCCGGUAGCUAAAUGCGGAAGAGAUAAGUGCUGAAAGCAUCUAAGCACGAAACUUGCCCCGAGAUGAGUUCUCCCUGACUCCUUGAGAGUCCUGAAGGAACGUUGAAGACGACGACGUUGAUAGGCCGGGUGUGUAAGCGCAGCGAUGCGUUGAGCUAACCGGUACUAAUGAACCGUGAGGCUUAACCUU